This 654-nucleotide ribosomal RNA is filed under the name Salmonella enterica. Its description in RNAcentral is "partial 23S ribosomal RNA". It matches the Rfam family "Bacterial large subunit ribosomal RNA", at positions 605 to 1238 of the family's 2925-position model. Lineage: Bacteria; Pseudomonadati; Pseudomonadota; Gammaproteobacteria; Enterobacterales; Enterobacteriaceae. The record is from RNAcentral.
CUUUUGUAUAAUGGGUCAGCGACUUAUAUUCUGUAGCAAGGUUAACCGUAUAGGGGAGCCGUAGGGAAACCGAGUCUUAACCGGGCGUUAAGUUGCAGGGUAUAGACCCGAAACCCGGUGAUCUAGCCAUGGGCAGGUUGAAGGUUGGGUAACACUAACUGGAGGACCGAACCGACUAAUGUUGAAAAAUUAGCGGAUGACCUGUGGCUGGGGGUGAAAGGCCAAUCAAACCGGGAGAUAGCUGGUUCUCCCCGAAAGCUAUUUAGGUAGCGCCUCGUGAAUUCAUCUCCGGGGGUAGAGCACUGUUUCGGCUAGGGGGCCAUCCCGGCUUACCAACCCGAUGCAAACUGCGAAUACCGGAGAAUGUUAUCACGGGAGACACACGGCGGGUGCUAACGUCCGUCGUGAAGAGGGAAACAACCCAGACCGCCAGCUAAGGUCCCAAAGUCAUGGUUAAGUGGGAAACGAUGUGGGAAGGCCCAGACAGCCAGGAUGUUGGCUUAGAAGCAGCCAUCAUUUAAAGAAAGCGUAAUAGCUCACUGGUCGAGUCGGCCUGCGCGGAAGAUGUAACGGGGCUAAACCAUGCACCGAAGCUGCGGCAGCGAACGUAUCACUUAAAGCGAUUCAGCGGGUUACGAUUGACGGAGCGAAGCG